This 2233-nucleotide long non-coding RNA is filed under the name Actinidia chinensis (golden kiwifruit). Its description in RNAcentral is "long non-coding RNA (ACHI_LNC006417)". The record is from RNAcentral. Lineage: Eukaryota; Viridiplantae; Streptophyta; Magnoliopsida; Ericales; Actinidiaceae.
CAGAAGCACACGCGGAUAAUAUAUAGGUGGGUUCAUUUUUUGUCAUUUAAAAUUUUCAUUUUAUAUUUUCAUUAAAAGCUACAAUGUUAAAGAUCAAUUUAACAUAUAAUAUAUAAACACUCAUGUUUGUGUGCACAUACACAUGCUACGAAAUACUUCAACCAUUAGACAAUAGAUAGCCCUAAUAACAGUUUGAAGCAUCAUGAUGAACCCUUUCACGCAAUUGAAUAUGUUUUUUUAAGAGGCAUGGAAUGCUAAUACUAUGAUAAAAGCCGAGGUAAUUGGCUUCUUCCAUAUAUUCUUGACUAGUGUAUUGUUGAAAAUUAUUGAAAUAAAUAGGCCAUUGCAGUUAAAGAGCUUGGCCAUAGUUUUCAAAUUAAUGCUGAAAUUGGAUUCAUAAUAAACAGUCCUAGGACUACGAGAUGAACUAUGCUACUUGACCUCAAGCCAUAAGCUGAUUCAAAAUCAAUCAUGAUUACAAACCAAUCCAGUUCAGCCUUGAACUGGAGUCAUUUAUGCUUCAACCUGUACUAUAGUUGUGCGUGAAAAAUAAUAGCGAAACAAGUUAUCUCACGUUUCUUUUUUGCAAAACAUUGGCUUCAGCCGAACUCUACAACCUACAAAUUAACAAAUGAAAUGUUUCCAUGCAAACAUCUAACCAGCUUCUCAUUAAAAAAAUUAACUCUUCCACUUGUGUUUAUAGGUAUACGAAUUGAAUGUUUGAGCUGCAGCUAAAGAGGAGGAUGUAGAAAUAGCAAUGGUGAAGUAAUGACAUAUAAAAAACACAUGGUGAGAAUUUCAUGCAUCAGUAACUUACAGAAGAAAGAAGAGACUCAUGGUGAGUAGCAAUAUCAAUACAAGAAACUGCACCAGACAAUGCCUUUAAACUUGUUCAUGCAAGCAACAAAAAACAAAGGAACAAAAAAGUGAGAAUGGUAAAUGAUUGCAACGCAGAAGUUUGCUUAGAAAAUCACGUUAACAAGAACCAUUAAGCAAUGUCUUAUUAAUGUUAUACCAUGAACUAUCAGCAAUGCUGCUUUCAGAAGUGCAAAUUUGCUGAGCAAACUUAUAGUUCAAGGACCAGUAGCAACCCAGAAGGAGAAAAAUCACAUUUUCCCUUUCACAUCUCACUGGACCUUUACAUGACAACCUUGUGACAGUUACAUUAGAAUUAAUCUUCGCCCAUAAUUCAAGGACCAGUAGCAACCCAGAAGGAGAACAUUCACAUUUGCCCUCUCAUAUCUCACUUGCUCUUUACAUGACUACCUUCCAACCAGGGACGGAUGUUCAAUUUUAAAUUUGGGGAGGCGAAUGUUCGUACAAAGCACAAAAAUUAGGCAUGAAAUACAAUACUAAUUAGAAACUUGGGUAUCGAACUUAUAUAAUUUGAAAAUAUUAGUAGUUUGUACUACUAUAAAACUGCAGUUUUUUUGGAGUUUUGGGGCACCUUGGGCCAUCCCUGCUUCUAACGAAAUCUGACUAUGACAUAGUCAGGUAGAAAUAUCUGCACUUAUGCUUACCAGAGUGACUGAUCUUAGGGCAUCUCGGACAUGACAUACCAACUCUGAAUCAGUUCAAUUAACAUCCUCCAUUUCAUAAAAUCCUGGCCUCUCAUAUGCUAAUUCGACCCCUAUGAUCUCUGUACCAGGUAGCUGUUCCACUGGGUCCGACAAAGUAGAUUUUGUAAACUAAGCCUGCACAGCGGGAAAAUCAUAUCGCACAACGAUAAAUUGCAAAUUAUAGCAUCAAUACGAGCUCAGUUUCAACCGUUACGUCCCCAAUUUCAGACACUAGUUCAGUUGUCUAUAAAUAUAUUUUCAUAUAUCACUCUAUUGUAAUCGUGUUCUAUGUUCAAUAGAAUCCCUCCGUGUGUUCCGGAACCCUACCUACAAACAUCAAAUAUACAUAUAUAAGUAUAGCUAUACAUAUAUAUAAAUAUAUAUAUAUAUAUAUGUAUAUUAGAGAGAGAGAGAGAGAGAGAGAGAGAGAGAGACUAGAGAGGACCUGAACAGGAAAAGAGAGAGAGGGGAAGGCCGAGUUGGAUCUGUCAGACGAUUGAAUAGUCUGGUCGGCGCAAACCCCAACACUCAAUCCCUGUUUGUCGCUCUGUCUCCUGUUGCCGCCAGACCGAUGGAACGAGAACGUCGCAAGGCUUUUCAAACUUCCAACACAAACCCUAACCCCACCGAACUACUUCUAGUCAACCCUGGUAGUUUAAUCCCCAAAAGUUCGU